GGUUACACAGGAACAUGUCUGUAAUCUAUAUUUAGGAGAUCAGAGAAAACCUGCCUGAGAAGAAAGGAUGAAAUCUGAUACCUAUACAAGAAGGGAACUUUGUUAGGAAAACUGCUAUGGAGACCAUGCACAUGCUAACCCUGGAGGCAAGCCUCUGGUUCAUCUGGUGAUCUACCAACAGUUGGGAAUAUCUGCAGAAUGGAAUGCAAAGGAGGUGGAAGAGAUGGAAGAACGGCCUAUUCUUUGUGAGGGCAGGAAAAGGAGAUGUCAACUGCAGUGUAGCAAGAUGAUUUAUGACCUAAGAGUCGACACGAAACCUCUUUCUUUCACCAGGUCAUUGAUGUGUCUACAACAUAUUGAACAGACUUGUCCUUUGCUUUCAUGCUGUUCCCUCAACAUCUUGUCAUUCUAAUGAAAACAAAUGCCUCUUUCGUGCAUUACCAUAAUAUGCAACUGGAAAUAUGCCACUCUUCAAGAUUAUCCUCAAGAGACACAUUUUCCCAUCUCCUCCUUGCCUUCCAUAAAUGCCACGAAGUAGGGAAUGGUUUGCUGGCUAGAGUUGCUUUUUAAAUUGAAAUACUUCCAAACUUUAACUUCUGCUGAAAUAAAAAUGUGUACUAAGAUUCUCCGUGGCAUAAACAACUGUUCUGCAGGCUCAAAAACAGCAAACCUGGCACGUGGCUACAAUCCCAGCAUCAAAUGAGUUCUCUGGUAACAAUAAUUAUAAUAAAGACAGCCAAUCGUUGGAGAGUUGGGCUUCCCAGAGACCUAAAGUGAGAAGAAUUGCCAAGAGCAAAUGAGAACCAUAGAAGGAAGGAGCUCAGAGCAUGGAGAAGAGAUCACUGGAAGAAGGGGCACUGCAGGAAGAAAUGGCCUUUGGUCUCAUCAUUCUGGCCUGCUUGAGGAACAAAUCUACCCAAUCCUGCAUAUGAACCAGGACUGUGUAGGAAUGUGAGCCUCUGUCUGGUCCCAUGGGACAAAUUGCAUACAUAGUUCAACCAGGAAAAAAAAAAUCAUCAAAUCAAAUGUAGCAUAAGAUGAACUAUGAAAUGCUUCAGGGAAAUGUGCCCUGUCUAUCCAUCAGGACCCGUUCCUUAGAACCAU
Molecule: long non-coding RNA, 1104 nt
Organism: Dipodomys spectabilis (banner-tailed kangaroo rat)
Lineage: Eukaryota; Metazoa; Chordata; Mammalia; Rodentia; Heteromyidae
Exons: 7
Source: RefSeq, a predicted model, not a curated record